GAUGAAGAACGUAGCGAAAUGCGAUAAGUAGUGUGAAUUGCAGAAUUCAGUGAAUCAUCGAAUCUUUGAACGCACAUUGCGCCCCUUGGUAUCCCGAGGGGCAUGCCUGUUCGAGCGUCAUUUCACCACUCAAGCCUGGCUUGGUGUUGGGCGACGUCCUCUUUGGGGACGCGCCUCGAAACGCUCGGCGGCGUGGCACCGGCUUUAAGCGUAGCAGAAUCUUUCGCUUUGGAAGUCGGGGCCCCGUCUGCCGGAAGACCUGCUCGCAAGGUUGACCUCGGAUCAGGCAGGGAUACCCGCUGAACUUAAGCAUAUCAAUCAGCGGAGGA
RNAcentral lists this unclassified non-coding RNA (329 nucleotides) under soil metagenome. Its description in RNAcentral is "partial contains 5.8S ribosomal RNA, internal transcribed spacer 2, and large subunit ribosomal RNA". The stretch from base 1 to 120 matches the Rfam family "5.8S ribosomal RNA", at positions 35 to 154 of the family's 154-position model. The record is from RNAcentral.